CCUACGGGAGGCAGCAGUAGGGAAUCUUGCUCAAUGGACGAAACCCUGACGCAGCAACGCCGCGUGGGGGAUGAAGGUUUUCGGAUUGUAAAAUCCUUUUGUUAGAGAAGAUAAUGACGGUAUCUAACGAAUAAGCACCGGCUAACUCCGUGCCAGCAGCCGCGGUAAUACGGCGGGUGCAAGCGUUACUCGGAUUCACUGGGCGUAAGGGGCGCGUAGGCGGGUUAGCAAGUCAGAUGUGAAAUCCUAUGGCUUAACCAUAGAACUGCAUUGGAAACUGUUAUUCUAGAGUAUAGGAGAGGUAGGUGGAAUUCUUGGUGUAGGGGUAAAAUCCGUAGAGAUCAAGAGGAAUACUCAUUGCGAAGGCGACCUGCUAGAACAUAACUGACGCUGAUGCGCGAAAGCGUGGGGAGCAAACAGGAUUAGAUACCCGAGUAGUC
Molecule: ribosomal RNA, 440 nt
Filed under: uncultured bacterium
Lineage: Bacteria
Description: partial 16S ribosomal RNA
Rfam family: Bacterial small subunit ribosomal RNA
Source: RNAcentral